This 429-nucleotide ribosomal RNA is filed under the name Bacteroidota bacterium. RNAcentral's name for it is "Bacteroidetes bacterium partial 16S ribosomal RNA". It matches the Rfam family "Bacterial small subunit ribosomal RNA", at positions 355 to 776 of the family's 1533-position model. The record is from RNAcentral. Lineage: Bacteria; Pseudomonadati; Bacteroidota.
UAGGGAAUCUUCGGCAAUGGGGGGAACCCUGACCGAGCAACGCCGCGUGAGUGAAGAAGGUUUUCGGAUCGUAAAGCUCUGUUGUUAAGGAAGAACGAGUGUGAGAAUGGAAUGUUCAUGCUGUGACGGUACUUAACCAGAAAGGGACGGCUAACUACGUGCCAGCAGCCGCGGUAAUACGUAGGUCCCGAGCGUUGUCCGGAUUUAUUGGGCGUAAAGCGAGCGCAGGCGGUUAGAAAAGUCUGAAGUGAAAGGCAGUGGCUCAACCAUUGUAGGCUUUGGAAACUGUUUAACUUGAGUGCAGAAGGGGAGAGUGGAAUUCCAUGUGUAGCGUUGAAAUGCGUAGAUAUAUGGAGGAACACCGGUGGCGAAAGCGGCUCUCUGGUCUGUAACUGACGCUGAGGCUCGAAAGCGUGGGGAGCGAACAGG